GGCUGUGCCCAUGGCAUAUGGAAGUUCUCAGGCUAGGGGUCUAAUCAGAGCUGUAGCUGCUGGCCCACACCACAGUUCACAGCAACGCCAGAUCCUCAAACCACUGAUGGAGGCCAGGGAUCAAACCCACGUCCUCAUGGAUGCUAGUCAGUUUUGUUAACCGCUGAGCCACAACGGGAACGGUACAGGAGUCUUUCCACCAGACUCCAAUUAGUUUUCAGUGAGAAUUUUUCCACAUGUAGAUAUAUUUUUGAUGUGUUUGUGGGGGGAGGUAAGUUCUGCAUCCUCCUACACUACCAUCUUGAGCUCCUCCCCUUAAAUACUUUUUUUUGGGGGGGCCAUGCCCAUGGCAUAGGGAAGUUCCUGGGCCAGAGAUUGAACAUGAGCCACAGUAGUGACAAUGCCAAGUCCUUAAACAUUAGGCCACCAGGAAGCUCCCCUCAAAUACUUAAUACAGUUUAAAAUUUUAUUUCCUUACCAAUGUCCCAACUUUUUCAUUUCUGAGUGAUAUUACCAUUCUUCUAGUUUCCCAAGCUUGAGAGGCUGAUGUCAUCUUGGUCGCUUUGCCAUUUAUCUCAUCCUUUAUUUAGACUGUAUUACCAUUAUUUAUUUCUCCAAAGUGUUCACAAAUUAGGUUCCUAUAUUUAACUCUGCCAUGACCUUCACUCAGGUAUGAUCACUGGAUUACUUCAACAGCUGCCAGUAAGUGUCUCUUCCAGACCACUCUCCCACCAACCUUCCAACAUCAUUGUCAGAGUGAUGUUUCUAAAAAAAAAUUUCAUUAUGUCACUCCCUGUUGAAGAUCCUACAGUGUUAUUAAGUUUAGGCUGCUUAUUCUUUUUUAAAGGCAGAAAAUUACCUGAUUUCCUCUUAUCUCUAUAACAUUAUUUUUUGCUUCUUUUCUGCAUUCCUCUCUGCCCAAAGGGUUCUCUUUGGUGUUAGCCCCACAGUAAGUUUGCUUUUACCACUCUUUCAAAAUAAAAAUUUAUUUUUGUUUUAUAUUUUAUCCCAGCUGGUAUAAUUAUACAUGCUCAAUAAACAUAUAUUUGUUUUCAAUAUUAUGUGAACGAUAUGCUAUUUAAAAAGGACAAUAAAACAUUUGACUUGCUGUUGAGAUAAGACUUUUUCAGUGUUGUCAGGAAGUAGAACUUCUCAGUUUUAAUGUGGGGGGUCAGUUAAAAAGGUGGCCCUACCUCACAGGAAAUAGAAAAGUGUCUACCCAAGACCUAUGAGUGCUUCUAAAUAUGUGUUGAUGGCUCUUCCAUAAUCUGGAAUGAGGUCUAUGUAACUACCUUUGAAUCAAUUUGUUUAUAAUUCAUUCAUUCAUUUAUGAUUCAACUUUUACAAGGCCAAAAAGAAAUAUGAAUAUAUUGAUUUUUAAAAAUGUUAGACUUAUAAGGCAUUCUCUUUAAAUGUUAAGACUCACAAGGCAUUCUCUUUCUUCAGUCUAUGUCAUUGCUUUUUAUUCAUCUAAUCCCUUGCAAAUACAUUUCCUAUUGCACUUCAAAGAAUAUAUGGUCUCUGUUUAUUUACCAUGUUUAUUAGUUUUUUCUUUCCCCAACCCAUGCUAAGUUUCUGAAAUACAGGAUCUUUGUCCUGUAAUUUUGUGAGAAUCUUAUGAUUUAGGGUAGAUAAGUGCUUGCUAUUUUAUGAAAUCAGACAAAGUAACAUGAACACACAAACUGCAAUGUGUGGAGAUGGAUUUUUAUCUGAGCAUUUAGGAAGAAAAUGCUUUGCAUCCAGGAAGAAAUCUCUUAGAGAGCUGUUAAAUACCAGAAUAGCAAGAAUGCAGCUAUUUAAAUAGUUCCUUAUGCAUCUUUUGCAUUGUGGUGUGCAAAUUCGGGCCAGUGAAUUUUCAGGGCAAUACGCUACCCAAGUGAAUCUGUUUCUCAUUUUAAAUAAUUCUUAAAAUAUGUGAAAUACUCAAUAAGCGUUCCCUCUUCUAAGGGUCUAGAUGAUGUCCAAAUCCUGGAUACACACUAGUCUAGGAUAUAUAAAAUGUCCUUACUAUUACUAAGUUUAGGUGCUAUUUGAAAAUGGGCUUUUAUGUAGUUAAUAAACACAAAUUUUCCCCCUUUAGGAGGACUUCAUAGAGAUAGUUUCACACUUUAUAGUAGUUUCAAAAAUGAAUAAUUUGACACUAGGUUGAGAAUCCAAAUCAGACUACUAUAAGCAGAUGUGACAUCCAGAAGGUUAACCCUAGCAUCUGGUAUGCCCUCCUAUGGCAUUAUGACAUGGGUUUUAGAAUUGCAACAUUGACCAAUGUAUGUUUAAGAACAGAAUAUGUCAAAGAAGGUCACAUAAACAAUGUGAGAAUGAGAAAGGGGGAGGGAGAGAAUAUAACAUUGGAAGAAAAUUGCAAUGAUAUCGCAGGCUAUAGAAAUGUUGAGAAAUUUUACAGAUAUGUACAUAAAGGAGCCAGGAUUUUUGGUUAUGCAUAAUGAAUAAAUACAAUCAUACAGUCAAAUUACCUCAUUUUCCCUCUCCUAUUUAUAGACUUUUUAAAAUAGGUUUUUCACAAAUAAACACCAAACUUGGAGCUAACAUGGCCAAGUGCAUCCAUACUUUCUGCUCUCUUCCUGUUCACUACCUUUAGGUGAGUUAAACUGGCAUGCAGGGCUUUUACUUUAAAUUGAUAUUCUAAUUCCUGCUAAAGCAACCUGAAAGGGAAGCAUAUUAACAAAAUGUUUGGAGGACUCCUGAUAAUAAAGUGCAUUCUAUCCAUGGUAAAAGUAAUGAAAGUUGAAACUUAAAAAUAUUCACAAUUGUACCAACAUUUAAUUAGCAAUGCCACAUCACUGUUGGCACCAGAAAGCCCUGAAUAAACUAUUGUUGUGGGUUUGCUGAUAGACAGCUUGUCAGGAAAUGAUCAGUAUUGGCAAUGAUUUGGGGCUAAUUUCAUGGAUGUUUUCCAGUUUCCGUGAUCUUCCUUUCCCCUUUUCCAAACAAAAGUGCUUCUGAAAAUUUCUGUUUAACAUCUUUCACUUCGAAUAAAGAAAACACAAAACAUUCCCCUUGCAGCUGGUAUUGGUGAAAUUACUUCUCUGGAGGGACCUGCAGAUGAGGGGUCUUGUUUGAGAAGCACCAGGCAGAAGAAAGUCUUCAAGAUGUCUGUGUUUUUUCUUAAUCUGAGAUCACUCCCGUUUUAGUGUCUAUCCACUUCCUGUUGGGAAAUGUACCAGAGGCAUCAGAAAGAUCCAAAGAUUGAUCUGAGUAAAAUAAAACAUUCAUUUAAACUCACUGGUUAUACAGUAUUAUCUUUAACAAAAGCUAUAUUAUGAUAAAAUCCAUAUCAGUUUCUAAGAGGCGAUGUUUUUCCUCCAGAGCUGAAUAACGUCACCUGAUCUAUUUGUUUCUCUGUGUGAAAUAAAUUAACUUUUCAAAUGUAAUAUAAAAGAAGACAGAACCAAACUUCACAAAUGUUGACAAACAAUCUAAAUCAUUACACUUCCCAAAUCAAAUAAAUGGAACAUAUGUUUUCCCCAAUUUUUUUCUGUAUAAAGUAUGCAAACAAUUACCCGGAUUUGGAGGGUAUAAUUAUGAAGGGGUUGAUAUCUAAAAGGUUAUUAUUGAUUUAUAAAGUUCUCUAGUUUAAUCGAAGACAGAUUUAGGAAUUGGAAAGAAAAUACUGCUUUCUCCAGGAACAAUAAAUGUCCCAAAAGGGAAAUGUAAGAUUUAAGAGUAAUUUUUAUAAGACAUAUAUACUGCAGUUUGUGGAUCUGGGAGGUGUUUCUCAUUCGAACUUCUAUGUAAUGAACAUUUUGUAGAACCAUCUCACUUAUUGUAGUGUAUUUUAUAUGCCUUAAAAUGCAGUAAUUAAAUUCCUAGAGUAAUUUUUGUUGAGUUUGAAUGCCUCAUUUUACAUUAUGGAUUUAUAAUCCUCAGUCUGCAGAUUUAGUACAUAUAACAAGUAUAAAAUAUUUAAACAAUAAAUUUAGUUUAAUUUACUCCCCAUCAGGUAUAAAUGUUCUUUCUCUGUGUCUCCAGUGUGCAUGCCACACACACACACACACACACACACACACACACACACACACACACAGAGCACAAGUUCAUUCAUCUAAUGUUGGUUAAUGUGAUAUUGCUUAAUAUUGUGGUUGUAUAAUAAAAAUUAAAUCUUUCAUGGACUCUUAUACUUUAGUUUUAUAUGCAGGUUUAAUUAUUGCAAUGUAUUUAUUAAAAACAUUUUUUUUCUUUUUAGGACCACACUAGUGGCAUAUGGAUGUUCCCAGGCUAGGGGCUGAAUCAGAGCUGUAGCUGCUGGCCUAUACCAUAGCCACAGCAAUGCCACAUCCAAGCUGCAUCUGUGACCUAUAGCACAGCUCAUGGCAACGCUGUAUCCUUAACCCACUGAGCAAGGCCAGGGAUCGAACCUGCAUCCUCAUGGAUAGUAGUUGGGUUUGUUAACCACUGAGCCAUGUUGGGAACUCCAAAAGAAAUUUUUUAAAAAUCAAAAUUUCUUCUUUUAGGGAAAAAGUUAAUUUCCUUUUUGAUUUCAUCAUUGACCCACUAGUUUUUUUUUAGUAGCAUAUUGUUUAGACUCCAUGUAAUCAUUUUUCUCCUUUCUUUUUCUGUGGUUGAUUUCUAGAUUCAUGCUGUUGUGGUCAGAAAAGAUGCUUGAGAUACUUUCUAUACCUUUAGAUUUGUUGAGGACUUUUUUGUGCCCACAUACUAAUGUGGUCAGUCCUAGAGAAUGUUCCAUGUGUAUUCAAAAAGAAAGUGUAUUCUUUUUUUUUUAAUGCAAUGUCCUGAAAAUAUAAUUUAAGUCUAAUUGUUCUAUUACAUCAUUUAGGAUCUCUGUUGCCUUAUUAAUUUUCUGUCUAGAAUAUCUGUCCAUUGAUGUGAAUAGGGUGUUAAUGUCUCCUACUCUUAUCGUAUUCCCAUCAAUUUCUCCCUUUAUGUCUAAUAGUAUUUGUUUUAUGCAUUUGCAUGCUUCUAUAUUAGGUGUGUAUAUGUUAACGAGUGUAAAAUCCUCUUCUUGUAUUGAUUCUUUUAUCAUUAUGUAGUGUUCUCCUUUAUCUUUUUUAUGCCCUUGGUUUGAAAUCUACUUUGUCUUGUAUUGCUAACCCUGCUUUCUUGUCAUUUCUGUUUGCAUGAAAUAUCUUUUUCCAUCCCCUUGCUUUCAAUAUCUGUGUAUCCUUGGCCCUAAAGUUAGUCUCUUGUAGGCAAUAUUUUGUAGGCUCUCACUUUUUAUCCAUUAUGCUACUCUUUGUCUCUUGAUUGGAGUAUUUGACAUUUAAGACAUUCCCAAAGAUGGUAAUAGCUAAGGACUUCUGGCCAAUAUGACACAACAAGGAUUGGAUUUACCUCACACCUUAUGCAAAUUGAAAACUGGACAAAAUAUGUGAAACAAGUAUCAGACAUUGGACCUCAGAAGCACAGGACUGUUUUCCCUGAGAGAAGGGAAACAAAUACAAUGAGUCCUAUGAUUAUAACAGCUUAAUGACUAAAAUCAAUUUCCAAGCUGCAACA
RNAcentral lists this long non-coding RNA (5472 nucleotides) under Sus scrofa (pig). Its description in RNAcentral is "lncRNA (ENSSSCG00005034882.1)". The record is from RNAcentral. Lineage: Eukaryota; Metazoa; Chordata; Mammalia; Artiodactyla; Suidae.